AUGAUGUCUAAGAAUGUGUCCCUGAGAACUCCUGUCUUCAGUCAUCCAUCAGCAAGGGUGACAGAUGCACCAAUCCCGCUGUUUGAAAAGGCUCACAGCCACAGCCUGUGUAGCUUCUUUGCCUAUAGGAGAUCUACAGUGAUAACUGGAAAUUCUGACCCACUAAAAAGACUGUUGUCUUGGGAAGAAGUAUAUCUGUGGAAAUAUUUGCCAAAACGUGCCGCAGGUGAUAAGUUAACGUAAGUUCAAACGGAGGUUGAAAUCUGUCAGAGGUUUCUAAGCACACAGAAAUGACAUCUGGUUCAGGAAAGAAAGUGCUGAAGCCAAGAACUUUUUGGCAGCUGUCAGGGUUUAAAAAAAUAGGUCUACCCUAUGCCUCUGAGCAUUCAAUGUCCUUUCACCCCUUUGUGGAUUCUGCACCACAAGGGGCUGCCAGGAGCAGAACCAUCUGUUCACCAUCCUUUCUAUCUAUGAGAAUUCCAGGUCUGAACCCUUUACUCAUAAACAUCUCUACAAGACAUUAGGCAGAGUGCCGCAUCCCCCUUUACUGCCUAGUGCAUACAUAAAACAAUAAUUUAUUCCUGUUGCAACUCUCUCUUAGUACAAACAGUAAAUAUUUGUGCUGUGAUGUAAAAGUUAUCGGUUCCCCUCUGUCCCUUUAUCAGGGUCAACAAUAAUGCUCUUGUCUAUAGGAAACAGAACAGUUUCCAUUUUAUGUAAGCUAUUAGGGAUCUUGAGAAAGAGCAGUGACAUUUCAGUCAUUAAAUGUUAUUAACAUGGUGCAAUUAAUUGUAUUUUAAUUAAUCCUGGCCACAAAGUGAUUAAAGUAUUGGUCUGCACAUCCCGAGAUAUAUAAUGUUGUGUAUGUUGCAGCCCCAUUGAAGACCUAUGCGUGUUGGAG
This 901-nucleotide long non-coding RNA is filed under the name Numida meleagris (helmeted guineafowl). RNAcentral's name for it is "lncRNA (ENSNMEG00000002601.1)". The record is from RNAcentral. Lineage: Eukaryota; Metazoa; Chordata; Aves; Galliformes; Numididae.